Hypomontagnella submonticulosa is the source of this 94-nucleotide non-coding RNA. The record is from the annotation of a GenBank genome assembly. NCBI's taxonomy places the organism in Eukaryota, Fungi, Ascomycota, Sordariomycetes, Xylariales, Hypoxylaceae.
GCCCGACUAGCUCAUCGGUAGAGCGCCUCACUAGUAUAGUUCAUCUGAACUUACGGAUAUGAGGAGGCAACAGGUUCGAUUCCUGUGUUGGGCA